This 200-nucleotide unclassified non-coding RNA is filed under the name Russula sp. RNAcentral describes it as "partial internal transcribed spacer 2". The record is from RNAcentral. Lineage: Eukaryota; Fungi; Basidiomycota; Agaricomycetes; Russulales; Russulaceae.
UUAAGUUCAGCGGGUAGUCUCACCCGAUUUGAGGUCAAGGUUCUUUGUGGGUCCAGCCUCCCGCUAUAGACGGCGGCGACCGGAGCACCAUCGCUGUCCACGAGACAGUUAGGAGCGGAGAAAACAGUGCCAAAUCCAAAACGUAGAAACAUCUUAUCACGUCAAGGACCAGCAAAGCGGACCCCACUAAUUCAUUUGAG